RNAcentral lists this long non-coding RNA (689 nucleotides) under Homo sapiens (human). RNAcentral describes it as "long intergenic non-protein coding RNA 1893". Lineage: Eukaryota; Metazoa; Chordata; Mammalia; Primates; Hominidae. The record is from RNAcentral.
GGCGUCUCAGUCUACUGUCAGAGAUCAACCGAUGGAUCGGAUCACCUGGAUGUUGAGCCAUCCACAUGCAAACCAAGGAAGGAGAGUGUGAGCUCCUGGCUGGAGAAUUCGCUCACAAGGGUGAUGUGAUCAUCUUACGUGUAAAAGAAAACCGAAUUUCACUUCUGGUGGUGACUAUUGUCUGAUUCAUCAUUACAGUAACCACCCAAGGAAACCCUGCCCACAAAAAGCAUUCUUCUGGAGAAGUAACAGUUUUUGGUGACACACAUGAUGGCAACAAUGAACGCUUUGUGGCACGAUGACCUCUAUGAAAAAGAGAGAUAUACAGGUUUUGCUUUUGUUCACUCAACUAAUUACCAACCUUUCAUUAUACCUCUACUCGGACAUCUAAACUUCAGUUAAGCUCUAUGUUUAAGUGGGAUGGAUCUUCAAUUUGCCUACCUAAGGAUUUGAAGUCAGGUUUACAGAGGCAUCAUUUUACAAUUAUCAACUUUGAUAAAUGCAGAUUGUCAUGGAACUACCACCAGAAUCCAGAUAGAGAACAUGCUAUCAUCCCUGUUAUAUCCCUUUGUGGCUAAUCCACCACACUGUUCCAUCCACCAAAGUCCCUAGAAGCCACUGAUCUGUUUUAUGUCCCUCUGGUUUUGUCUUUUUCAAAGUCUGAAAUAAAUGGAAUUGUGGAGUGUGUA